GGCGUGCAUAGAUGAGUCGAGCGGACAGAUGGGAGCUGCUCCCUGAUGUUAGCGGCGGACGGGUGAGUAACACGUGGGUAACCUGCCUGUAAGACUGGGAUAACUCCGGGAAACCGGGGCUAAUACCGGAUGGUUGUCUGAACCGCAUGGUUCAGACAUAAAAGGUGGCUUCGGCUACCACUUACAGAUGGACCCGCGGCGCAUUAGCUAGUUGGUGAGGUAACGGCUCACCAAGGCGACGAUGCGUAGCCGACCUGAGAGGGUGAUCGGCCACACUGGGACUGAGACACGGCCCAGACUCCUACGGGAGGCAGCAGUAGGGAAUCUUCCGCAAUGGACGAAAGUCUGACGGAGCAACGCCGCGUGAGUGAUGAAGGUUUUCGGAUCGUAAAGCUCUGUUGUUAGGGAAGAACAAGUGCCGUUCAAAUAGGGCGGCACCUUGACGGUACCUAACCAGAAAGCCACGGCUAACUACGUGCCAGCAGCCGCGGUAAUACGUAGGUGGCAAGCGUUGUCCGGAAUUAUUGGGCGUAAAGGGCUCGCAGGCGGUUUCUUAAGUCUGAUGUGAAAGCCCCCGGCUCAACCGGGGAGGGUCAUUGGAAACUGGGGAACUUGAGUGCAGAAGAGGAGAGUGGAAUUCCACGUGUAGCGGUGAAAUGCGUAGAGAUGUGGAGGAACACCAGUGGCGAAGGCGACUCUCUGGUCUGUAACUGACGCUGAGGAGCGAAAGCGUGGGGAGCGAACAGGAUUAGAUACCCUGGUAGUCCACGCCGUAAACGAUGAGUGCUAAGUGUUAGGGGGUUUCCGCCCCUUAGUGCUGCAGCUAACGCAUUAAGCACUCCGCCUGGGGAGUACGGUCGCAAGACUGAAACUCAAAGGAAUUGACGGGGGCCCGCACAAGCGGUGGAGCAUGUGGUUUAAUUCGAAGCAACGCGAAGAACCUUACCAGGUCUUGACAUCCUCUGACAAUCCUAGAGAUAGGACGUCCCCUUCGGGGGCAAAGUGACAGGUGGUGCAUGGUUGUCCUCACCUCGUGUCGUGAAAUGUUGGGUUAAGUCCCCGACCACGCGCACCCUU
RNAcentral lists this ribosomal RNA (1077 nucleotides) under Bacillus subtilis. Its description in RNAcentral is "bacterial SSU rRNA". It matches the Rfam family "Bacterial small subunit ribosomal RNA", at positions 41 to 1106 of the family's 1533-position model. Lineage: Bacteria; Bacillati; Bacillota; Bacilli; Caryophanales; Bacillaceae. The record is from RNAcentral.